RNAcentral lists this transfer RNA (69 nucleotides) under Laetmonice producta. Its description in RNAcentral is "tRNA-Phe". Lineage: Eukaryota; Metazoa; Annelida; Polychaeta; Phyllodocida; Aphroditidae. The record is from RNAcentral.
GUCUAUAUAGCUUAAAUACCUUAAAGCCUAGCUCUGAAAAAGCUACAAUGAUUAAUUAAUCUAUAAACA